UUUAUUAUUGUUUAGUUAAAUAUAUCAAAUACGAAAAGAUUUCAUAUAUUUAAGAUCAAGUCAAUAUCAUUUCAAUAAAGACACAUAAAAAUAACUAUUAUGGUUGCACCUUUCAUAUCUAUGUAACUUCCUUUCAAAUCAAUUCGAGUAAGAGAUGGAUCCCGAAUUACAACAUAUUUAAGGUUUGAAUACAACUUCUCUAUUCUAAAUUCAAAUUUCUAUGGCUAUGUAAUUUUC
This 237-nucleotide long non-coding RNA is filed under the name Lathyrus oleraceus (garden pea). RNAcentral's name for it is "Pisum sativum (pea) long non-coding RNA (PSAT_LNC010763)". Lineage: Eukaryota; Viridiplantae; Streptophyta; Magnoliopsida; Fabales; Fabaceae. The record is from RNAcentral.